Molecule: long non-coding RNA, 1049 nt
Organism: Harmonia axyridis
Lineage: Eukaryota; Metazoa; Arthropoda; Insecta; Coleoptera; Coccinellidae
Exons: 5
Source: RefSeq, a predicted model, not a curated record
AUAGUUGAAGAAAAUCAGGUUUGAAUUUGCCAUAUGUAUAUCUUUAUCAGGAUGCAGUUGGAAGUAUUUUUCAUUAUACCGUGUCGGGCAGUCGUCUCUCAGAAGUUUGUUUACGCGAAUUGAUGAAAAUUUUGUGAUCGAGAAACCUGUGCUUUUGUCUUUAGUAGAUUUCGCGGACAUUUUGUCACGAGAGAUGAAUAUUAUUGUGCUAAAUUAAAGAGGAUUUUCGAAGAAAUAUAAUUUAUAGCUGAUUGUAUUACAUUGGAGCAGAAGUUUGGAAUUCUCACUGAUCAUUUGCUAUUGGGAUUUUCAUUUUCAGAGAGUAUAAGAAAAAUAAGAAGACGUCUUAGAAAUGAACAGAUACACAACACUGCCCCAAAUUUUUUGAAAAAGAGGGAGGUAAGGAAGGAACUGACAAGAAUUUAUAGCUGAUUGUAUUACAUUGGAGCAGAAGUCUGGAAUUCUCACUGAUCAUUUGCUAUUGGGAUUUUCUUUUUGAGAGAGUAUAAGAAAAAUAAAAAGACGUCUUCGAAAUGAAGAGAUACACAAAAGGACCCCAAAAUUUUUGGAAAAAAGGGAGGUAAGGAAGGAACUGACAAGAGCCUUGUUCCUGUUUGUUUUAGGCCUCACCUCCUGUAUAUAUCCUCCCAUUAGUUUCGGUCACUCUAGAAUCACCAAAAGAGCAGUUUCACAGUUUUAAAACUUAUGAAUGGAAAUUGAAAAUCAAUACCAGAAUAUUUUUCAACCCAAAUCUUCGAAUCUAUUAGCUUUGCAUCCUUCGAAGUUCAACUGUUGGAGUUCCAUGUUGAGAUGAAAUAAAAAUGACGGAGACAUUCAAGAAGAACGUUCUUCUUUGGUUACUCCAAAUAAUUGAGUGGAUGUUGUAUAGCAGUGUCAUCCAGAAAGUAUUGUGUCUCUUCAAAUAUCACAAGUUUUUUGUGUCAAAAUGAAUAAUGAUUGAAAAAUUUACUCUAUUCAUCCAAUCUUGAAGACAAUCACACAAACAUCAGUUGAAAUUUUAGCAAAAAAGAAUGAGGAGACAACAUACC